This 253-nucleotide ribosomal RNA is filed under the name uncultured bacterium. RNAcentral describes it as "partial 16S ribosomal RNA". It matches the Rfam family "Bacterial small subunit ribosomal RNA", at positions 524 to 776 of the family's 1533-position model. The record is from RNAcentral.
UACGUAGGGGGCAAGCGCUGUCCGGAAUCAUUGGGCGUAAAGCGCGCGUAGGCGGCCCGGUAAGUCCGCUGUAAAAGUCCAGGGCUCAACCCUGGAAAGCCGGUGGAUACUGUCGGGCUAGAGUCCGGAAGAGGCGAGUGGAAUUCCUGGUGUAGCGGUGGAAUGCGCAGAUAUCAGGAGGAACACCGGUGGCGAAGGCGGGACUCUGGGCCGAUACUGACGCUGAGGAGCGAAAGCGUGGGGAGCAAACAGG